RNAcentral lists this ribosomal RNA (466 nucleotides) under uncultured bacterium. RNAcentral's name for it is "SSU rRNA". It matches the Rfam family "Bacterial small subunit ribosomal RNA", at positions 26 to 518 of the family's 1533-position model. The record is from RNAcentral.
AGGAUAAACGCUGGCGGCGUGCCUUACGCAUGCAAGUCGAACGGUGUCCUUCGGGGCACAGUGGCGGACGGGUGAGUAACACGUACGUGACCUGACGCGAAGUGGGGGAUACCCAUCCGAAAGGGUGGCUAAUACCGCAUGUGGUCAUCCGGGGAAGCCGGGUGAGUAAAGGGAGCAAUCCCGCUUGGUGAGGGGCGUGCGGCCGAUUAGUUAGUUGGCGGGGUAAUGGCCCACCAAGACGAUGAUCGGUAUCCGGCCUGAGAGGGCGCACGGACACACUGGAACUGAAACACGGUCCAGACUCCUACGGGAGGCAGCAGUGGGGAAUUUUGCGCAAUGGGGGAAACCCUGACGCAGCAACGCCGCGUGGAGGAUGAAGUCCUUCGGGACGUAAACUCCUUUCGAUCGGGACGAUUAUGACGGUACCGGAAGAAGAAGCCCCGGCUAACUUCGUGCCAGCAGCCGC